UAGAGUUUGAUCCUGGCUCAGGACGAACGCUGGCGGCGCGCUUAACACAUGCAAGUCGAGCGAGAACCUGGGCUUCGGCCCUGGGGACAGCGGCGAACGGGUGAGUAACACGUGGGUAAUCUGCCCUUGACAUCGGGAUAGCCCGGGGAAACCCGGAUUAAUACCGAAUAGCCUCCGGAGCCUUCGGGCGCCGGAGAAAAGGUAGCUUCGGCCUCUGGUCAAGGAUGAGCCCGCGGCGGAUUAGCUUGUUGGCGGGGUAACGGCCCACCAAGGCGACGAUCCGUAGCUGGUCUGAGAGGACGAUCAGCCACACUGGGACUGAGACACGGCCCAGACUCCUACGGGAGGCAGCAGUGGGGAAUCUUGCGCUAAUGCGGGAAACCGUGACGCAGCGACGCCGCGUGGGGGAAGAAGGCCUUCGGGUUGUAAACCUCUUUCAGGAGGGACGAAGCUACUCGGGUUAAUAGCCCAGAGGGUGACGGUACCUCCAGAAGAAGCCCCGGCUAACUACGUGCCAGCAGCCGCGGUAAUGCCCAAUCGCC
This 542-nucleotide ribosomal RNA is filed under the name uncultured bacterium. Its description in RNAcentral is "bacterial SSU rRNA". It matches the Rfam family "Bacterial small subunit ribosomal RNA", at positions 1 to 535 of the family's 1533-position model. The record is from RNAcentral.